RNAcentral lists this long non-coding RNA (351 nucleotides) under Canis lupus familiaris (dog). RNAcentral describes it as "lncRNA (ENSCAFG00000049399.2, ENSCAFG00845004897.1)". The record is from RNAcentral. Lineage: Eukaryota; Metazoa; Chordata; Mammalia; Carnivora; Canidae.
AAGGGCCGUAAAAUCUCCAGGACUUUGUUGUUGUUUUGUUGUUGUUUUUAAAUCUUAAAUACAAUUCCUUCUUGACAUAGAUCAUGCGACCCAUAAUGGGUUUGACUGUUGUUUGUCUAAGGCUUCACUGCUGAGUUUGGCGAGUGAUCAUGAAGCUAUCACUUGUUUUGAUAAGACCCAUCUCCCUCCAAAGGAAAUGAAAUACAUUUCCUGAACUCCGAGGACCAGAAGCUGCCCUUGUCUGCCACCUUUGAUGACCUCGCCGAGGACGGACAGACGGAGAGGGAUGACGCUGACCCAAUGGCCUCGAAACAAUCACACGGCUCCCUGGACAUGAUCCGGAGCCUGUGU